GCAAGGGUGAAACUCAAAGGAAUUGACGGGGGCCCGCACAAGCGGUGGAGCAUGUGGUUUAAUUUGAUGAUACGCGAGAAACCUUACCAGGGCUUGACAUAUUUUUGACGUUCACAGAGAUGUGGAUUUCUCUUCGGAGACAAUUAUACAGGUGCUGCAUGGUUGUCGUCAGCUCGUGCUGUGAAGUGUUGGGUUAAGUCCCGCAACGAGCGCAACCCCUGCUGUCUGUUGCCAUCAUUAAGUUGGGGACUCAGACGGUACUGCCGGUGACAAACCGGAGGAAGGUGGGGACGACGUCAAAUCAUCAUGGCCCUUAUGUCCUGGGCUACACACGUGCUACAAUGGCAGGUACAGAGCGACGCGAGACCGCGAGGUGGAGCAAAUCGCAGAAAGCCUGUCUCAGUACAGAUUGAAGUCUGAAACUCGACUUCAUGAAGGUGGAAUCGCUAGUAAUCGCGCAUCAGCAUGGCGCGGUGAAUACGUUCCCGGGCCUUGUACACACCGCCCGUCACACCACCCGAGUUGGGGGUACCCGAAGUCACUAGUCUAACCUGCAAAGGAGGACGGUGCCGAAGGUAUGCUUGGUAAGGGGGGUGAAGUCGUAACAAGGUA
RNAcentral lists this ribosomal RNA (612 nucleotides) under uncultured bacterium. RNAcentral's name for it is "bacterial SSU rRNA". It matches the Rfam family "Bacterial small subunit ribosomal RNA", at positions 888 to 1498 of the family's 1533-position model. The record is from RNAcentral.